GAUGAACGCUAGCGGCAGGCUUAACACAUGCAAGUCGAGGGGUAGAGUAGCAAUACUUGAGACCGGCGCACGGGUGCGUAACGCGUAUGCAAUCUACCUUUCACAAAGGAAUAGCCCAGAGAAAUUUGGAUUAAUGCCUUAUAGUAUAACGAGUUCGCAUGGAUUUGUUAUUAAAGAUUUAUCGGUGAAAGAUGAGCAUGCGUCCCAUUAGCUAGUUGGUAAGGUAACGGCUUACCAAGGCUACGAUGGGUAGGGGUCCUGAGAGGGAGAUCCCCCACACUGGUACUGAGACACGGACCAGACUCCUACGGGAGGCAGCAGUGAGGAAUAUUGGUCAAUGGGCGCAAGCCUGAACCAGCCAUGCCGCGUGCAGGAUGACGGUCCUAUGGAUUGUAAACUGCUUUUAUACAGGAAGAAACACUCGGACGUGUCCGAGCUUGACGGUACUGUAGGAAUAAGGAUCGGCUAACUCCGUGCCAGCAGCCGCGGUAAUACGGAGGAUCCAAGCGUUAUCCGGAAUCAUUGGGUUUAAAGGGUCCGUAGGCGGCUUAAUAAGUCAGUGGUGAAAUCCCUACGCUUAACGUAGGAACGGCCAUUGAUACUGUUAGGCUUGAAUUAUUAGGAAGUAACUAGAAUAUGUAGUGUAGCGGUGAAAUGCUUAGAGAUUACAUGGAAUACCAAUUGCGAAGGCAGGUUACUACUAAUGGAUUGACGCUGAUGGACGAAAGCGUGAGUAGCGAACAGGAUUAGAUACCCUGGUAGUCCACGCCGUAAACGAUGGAUACUAGCUGUUGGGAGCAAUCUCAGUGGCUAAGCGAAAGUGAUAAGUAUCCCACCUGGGGAGUACGUUCGCAAGAAUGAAACUCAAAGGAAUUGACGGGGGCCCGCACAAGCGGUGGAGCAUG
Molecule: ribosomal RNA, 905 nt
Filed under: uncultured bacterium
Lineage: Bacteria
Description: bacterial SSU rRNA
Rfam family: Bacterial small subunit ribosomal RNA
Source: RNAcentral